GACGAACGCUGGCGGCGUGCUUAACACAUGCAAGUCGAACGGCAAGGCCCUGCUUUUGUGGGGUGCUCGAGUGGCGAACGGGUGAGUAACACGUGAGUAACCUGCCCUUGACUUUGGGAUAACUUCAGGAAACUGGGGCUAAUACCGGAUAGGAGCUCCUGCUGCAUUGUGGGCGUUGGAAAGUUUCGGCGGUUGGGGAUGGACUCGCGGCUUAUCAGCUUGUUGGUGGGGUAGUGGCUUACCAAGGCUUUGACGGGUAGCCGGCCUGAGAGGGUGACCGGCCACAUUGGGACUGAGGUACGGCCCAGACUCCUACGGGAGGCAGCAGUGGGGAAUAUUGCACAAUGGGCGGAAGCCUGAUGCAGCAACGCCGCGUGCGGGAUGACGGCCUUCGGGUUGUAAACCGCUUUCGCCUGUGACGAAGCGUGAGUGACGGUAAUGGGUAAAGAAGCACCGGCUAACUACGUG
This 468-nucleotide ribosomal RNA is filed under the name uncultured bacterium. RNAcentral describes it as "partial 16S ribosomal RNA". It matches the Rfam family "Bacterial small subunit ribosomal RNA", at positions 28 to 507 of the family's 1533-position model. The record is from RNAcentral.